GCCCCUCACGCCGCCCCUCACGCCGCCCCUCACGCCGCCCCUCACGCCGCCCCUCACGCCGCCCGGAGCUGUGAGGGUGAGGGGCUGAGGGUCAGCGCCCCGCAGGGCGAGACCAUCAGCUGCCUUUCAUUUAAACCAAAGACAAGGGGCGGCGGUGCAGAAAUGUCCUGGUUCGGUUUUAGGUUAAUGGGAGUUUGAAAGGUGUUAGCCAAGAAAUAGGAUUUUUUUCACAGCGAUCUUGGAAAGGAGAAGUCGUCGUUGUGUGAAGCUGAGAUACUGCGUCAAAGGCUGACAAAAGUUUCCUUGGGAGUGUGACUGGGAGAAGAGAGUCAGUGAUUUUUAACAGUCCAUUUCUCAACAAAAAGUGACAACAUGUAAUGACAUAAAGGUAUAUGUACAUAGUGGAGGCCAGAGAGACAGGAGAACUCUGCCAGUGCACUUAGCUUGUCAGGCACCGGAAGGCCCCAAUCCAGAAGCAAGAUAACUACAUGAAGCUGAGCUAAUGAGCACUGCUGAGAGGCAAGCAAUUCAACAUCAGCUUCUCCAAAAAUGCAGAUAUUCAUGUUCUCAACUUGUUGUCAAACAAAACAACAUCAAGCAACAACCCAUACUUCAGCAGUUUUACUUCUACAACCACAGAAAUAAAUGUUGCUAAUGGGCAAUAAUGCAGUGUCACUGAAGUAUCCCAGUGAGGCGAGUGGCAACAUGUCACAGCUUGCCAACUUCAAACACCUUUGUGAAUGCUGUCUCUCAUCAGUGGACUUGUAUUCCCGAAGUAAAGAGUAUUAGGUUUCAGUGAAAGACCUGAACUGUUCCAUUAAUGACCUGAUGGAUGAGACUCCUAACUGCAGAUCACAGCUUUCUCUAUUGUGCAGCAAGGAUAAGCUACUUCCAUAUGUUGGAGGAAGAGGUACAUAAAGGAGCCACUCAUUUCAUUUUUAACAAAGUGGGAUUACACUGAAGGAAGACAUUCUUUGGAUUGUUAAAAGCUUCUAAAAUACAGAACAGAAAACACUAAGAAAAAGAGAUGAAGCUCUCAGUUGGACAUAUAGUUAGGUGAGUAUGUUUGGGGCAUGUAAAAGCAGAAGAAAAAUGGAGUGCAACAGACUUAAAACCACACCCACAAACAUAAAAAGGAAAAAGAAAAGUAAAAUAAACUGUU
This is a long non-coding RNA of Cyanistes caeruleus (blue tit), 1162 nucleotides long. RefSeq lists it as uncharacterized. Lineage: Eukaryota; Metazoa; Chordata; Aves; Passeriformes; Paridae. The record is from RefSeq and is a predicted model, not a curated record.